Vigna angularis (adzuki bean) is the source of this 654-nucleotide long non-coding RNA. RefSeq lists it as uncharacterized. Lineage: Eukaryota; Viridiplantae; Streptophyta; Magnoliopsida; Fabales; Fabaceae. The record is from RefSeq and is a predicted model, not a curated record. The transcript is spliced from 3 exons.
UAUUGAACUUUCACAAAUUAAAGACAACAUGAAAGCAAUAAUUAAUCAUGUAUACAACAAAGAGGAAGCAGCUUUUUUUAGAGGAAUUAUAGAUGAUUUUCUACGCUUCGCCGACGACCACAACCAGCAACCGCAUGCCACUAGAGUUGUGCCACAACUAUCAACCUCGCCGAAGCAAACCGGAGCUCCACCCCACACCUGCAGCAGAAUCAGGAGCUCCUCGCGACGCCACCAAAAUCACUGCACCCAGAUCUGCGAUGCCACCAGCCAAACAGCUCGCCGAAAAAGCAACACUUGAUCGGAACCGUUGCAACCACAGCAGAGAACGCGACCUCCUUAAACUCUGAGGAAGAAAAGAGUGAAAGUUGCAGACCCUCUUCUGCAAGUCCGGGAAGAAAACGCUUAUUUUGGAAUUUGAAUGAAGAAGCUGUGGAUGAUGUAGGAAAAUGUUCAAGUUAUUCUCGAAAAAUGAGUAACGCUCAAGUUGGAUCUUUGAUGUAUGCAGCUCCAGGUGGGGUUAGGAAAAUAGAGGACGCCGAAUAACAAUAUCUGAUGCUUAAAGUAGGCCGAAGCCUGUAUUCUCACUCUAUUGGACCUUACGCGGCCCAAAUAAAGUUCUUUAAAAUAUGUUUACACAAAAUGCGUUCAAAUAUU